Molecule: transfer RNA, 72 nt
Filed under: Uliginosibacterium sp.
Lineage: Bacteria; Pseudomonadati; Pseudomonadota; Betaproteobacteria; Rhodocyclales; Zoogloeaceae
Description: tRNA-OTHER
Rfam family: tRNA
About the family: Transfer RNA (tRNA) molecules are approximately 80 nucleotides in length. Their secondary structure includes four short double-helical elements and three loops (D, anti-codon, and T loops). Further hydrogen bonds mediate the characteristic L-shaped molecular structure. tRNAs have two regions of fundamental functional importance: the anti-codon, which is responsible for specific mRNA codon recognition, and the 3' end, to which the tRNAs corresponding amino acid is attached (by aminoacyl-tRNA synthetases). tRNAs cope with the degeneracy of the genetic code in two manners: having more than one tRNA (with a specific anti-codon) for a particular amino acid; and 'wobble' base-pairing, i.e. permitting non-standard base-pairing at the 3rd anti-codon position.
Source: RNAcentral
GCGGGAGUAGCUCAGUUGGUAGAGCGCAACCUUGCCAGGUUGAGGUCGCGAGUUCGAGACUCGUCUCCCGCU